RNAcentral lists this small nuclear RNA (94 nucleotides) under Mustela putorius furo (domestic ferret). The record is from RNAcentral. Lineage: Eukaryota; Metazoa; Chordata; Mammalia; Carnivora; Mustelidae.
GCGCUCAUGUCAGCACUGCAUAUACUAAAAUUGGAACAGUUCAGAGAUUAGCAUGGCCCCUGGCACAGGAAUAAUUCCAGAGUUUCUAACUUGU